AUUGAACGCUGGCGGCAUGCCUUACACAUGCAAGUCGAACGGUAACGGGCCUUCGGGUGCCGACGAGUGGCGAACGGGUGAGUAAUACAUCGGAACGUGCCCGAUCGUGGGGGAUAACGAGGCGAAAGCUUUGCUAAUACCGCAUACGAUCUACGGAUGAAAGCAGGGGACCGCAAGGCCUUGCGCGGACGGAGCGGCCGAUGGCAGAUUAGGUAGUUGGUGGGAUAAAAGCUUACCAAGCCGACGAUCUGUAGCUGGUCUGAGAGGAUGAUCAGCCACACUGGGACUGAGACACGGCCCAGACUCCUACGGGAGGCAGCAGUGGGGAAUUUUGGACAAUGGGCGCAAGCCUGAUCCAGCCAUGCCGCGUGCAGGAUGAAGGCCUUCGGGAUGUAAACUGCUUUUGUACGGAACGAAAAGCCUUCUUUUAAUACAGGAGGGUCAUGACGGUACCGUAAGAAUAAGCACCGGCUAACUACGUG
Molecule: ribosomal RNA, 482 nt
Filed under: uncultured bacterium
Lineage: Bacteria
Description: partial 16S ribosomal RNA
Rfam family: Bacterial small subunit ribosomal RNA
Source: RNAcentral